Molecule: RNA transcript, 3780 nt
Organism: Pomacea canaliculata
Lineage: Eukaryota; Metazoa; Mollusca; Gastropoda; Architaenioglossa; Ampullariidae
Exons: 13
Source: RefSeq, a predicted model, not a curated record
CUAGCGUCAGAAAGCGGGUGCUGACAUCUCGAAUGGCAGGAUUUAUGCAGAACCUGCAAGAUAGAAAGGUGUCCAAGUCAAUGAUGCAUGAAGUGGAGAAGCCAGACAGUGACUUGACAGUUCAAGCUGCUCUUGCAAGAGGUGCAGAAAAUGGAAGAGUGAUCCAAUCAUGCACUUUACACUGUGAAAGUCAGAAUCUUGAUUUGCCUGUAGACAAAAAUGACUUCUUAAAGGUAUCCACUAAUGGCCUGAUGGAUGUAGUGAACACAAAUGGACCAAAUGACAUGGUCAACAUCGAUAAACAUGGAGAUCUGAAGUCAAACAGCAUCCUGAUCACAAUGUGCGGUGAAUGCUCAGAUCUGAAGGAGAGUUUCACUGCAUCUGUACCUCUCAUAUCCCGAUUGAGGCCAGUGGAAGAUCGUCUGCUGCAGACUGCUGCCUAUGGAGCAAGCUCACAGUUUGAGCCGAGUACUUGCUCUCAGUCUGCUCGUGGUGGAGCUGCUAUUUGUAACAAAAACCGAUGGAAUCAGUCUAGCCAGCAGAUAUUUGUAAGACCUCGAUGGCAUUUCUUGCACUCACCUAUAGAAGGAGUUGUGUUAAUGAAUGACAGGGCCAAGUGGUCCUUGAAGGAUCCUGAUGUUGUGCAUCAGAAUACAUUGACAUCCCUCAACUUUCUGCUGACCAGCAGCUUAGAGGAGGGAUGUUACAAUACUACCAUUGCCACUGCACACUUGCUGACAUCACAGUGCCCAUCGGAGCAGAUGAUUUGGUGUCUAGUGAGCAUAUUAAAGGAAGCUAAAGAGGAGAGUACAUUGAAUGCAGCUUACUCUUUGCUUAUGACGUGGCUGAAGCAACAUCCUCCUAUUGAUUCCGACAUCAGGAUUUUGUAUGAAAAAGGACUCAAGCUGUAUGACUGGGAUUCUGUUCAAGAAAUAAUAGAGCUGUCAGUAGAUACAGCAGCAGGCGAGACUGAGCAGCUGCUGGCAUCUUGGGGUGGGGCACGGCUGCAUCUAAAAUUCCUGCUGGCAACAUUAGAAUGCAACUUUCUGCACUUUCUACACAACAUCAACAAGCAAGGGGCAUGUAAUUGCUUGCUCAUCCGCUGCCUCUGGGCCCCUUCCUACCAGAUCUGCUGCAACCCUCGUAUUCGAAGGCUUCUCACAUUUCUACAGAGAUCUCUUAAGGCCUUCAAAUCAGCACAGGCAUGCUGGGAGGAAAUCCUAGGUUUACUUGCAAUGGUGGCUCAGUGCUGCCAUCUUGCAGACAAUAACUGGCAGUGGGGGGAGGCCGUGUGCUCAGGAGGGGUUAGCACAACUUACUUCGUACAGGAGCUUGCAGCAUCAGUCUCUGUUUGUGACAGACAAAUCCUUCAGCUGGUGUUGUCAAGAAUCCCAGCGCCCUGGCUCCGGGGGCAGUUGUCAGCAGCCCUGCUGUCCAACUACGAUGACUACCUUGUUCCUGGUGGCUUGUUGUCAGACCAGUGGUCACUGGCCAAAAUUGUGUCGCAGUUCUUUUAUCUUCUGCCCAAUAUGAGUCACACCAGUGACAGUGAGUUCACCAGAAAAAAGACAGCAGAAACAGACAUUGUGGAUCCAGAUGUAUCAACAUCAUUGGCUGGCCAACGACUCACUGCAGACAGGAUCAACAAAAGGAAUCCAAAAGGGGAGACAUUGCUUCACCGAGCAGCCAUCAAAAAUGAUGUUGUCCUUCUGAAACAAAUGUUAUCAGUCCCAGGUGUAGAUGUCAAUGCCCAGGACAAUGCUGGUUGGUCACCUUUACAUGAAGCUUGUCAUCAUGGCAAUGUGGAGUGCGUCAGAGCACUGCUUAAGUUUGUUCCUAAGAAGACUAUUGACGCAUAUACUUCUGGAGCAGGGAAAUUGAAGCGUGUUGAUAUUCGAGCACUCAGUGAGGAGAAGAUCACCCCUCUUCAUGAUGCUGUCCUGAAGAACCAUGUCAGCGUUGUUACACUGCUUCUCCAAUAUGGAGGUGGGUACCAGUUUACUCCAGGCUAGAACUGUCCUUGGCAACACGCCUUUGGAUCUUGCGAGGACAGAGGAGAUGCGACAGGUGCUGACUUCUGCAAAGUCUGUGGACACCUAAGCUGUCACAAGAUUUAUUAUCCCACCAGUCGUCUUGUACAGGGCACCUGCCACCCUCCUCAUUUCUGUACAGCCAGGUGCUAGGGGAUGCUGACGUCACAGUCACUGCUUCUGCUGAGGACUGUGCACAGUUUUUGGAUCUUCUUGUGUGUGUGCUGAAGGCUGAUCUACAGAUAAAACGCUUACAGCAGUCAGGUGGUAACAGUCAGCAAUUUCAACACAGUCUUCUGCUGACUCGGCACCAUGAGGCUGCAGCAGGUCAGGAGAAAGUUGUUGGUGUUGCAGACAGCGUAACAAGAGCCAGGAAGAAGGCUAAGUUUCACAGUAAAUGUUUAUGUAGACAUCUACACAAAAUCACCACUCCAGAUGUCUUCCAGGGCUUACACUUUCAGCUGGCGCUGGUUGAUGAAUUGUUGAAGGAAUGCUUUCUGUAUGAAUACCAUACUGGAAUGUUGAGAUAAGGUUGAAGAAUUACUGAAGGUGUGCAUGUUGUGUUGGAGCCAAAAGACAGUGGUAUGGUUCAAGAAUUAUUGAAGGUGCAUUCUUUGCCACAUGGCAGUGUAAAGAUUGAGUGGCUUGGCUGUUAAAAAAAACAACUUUAUGCAGGUUUUCACGCUUGCUUUGGUGUAGUGAAAAUAUACUAGUGUGAAUGUUGAUGUUGUGUAAACAAUCUUUGCAACUGUGGUGAAUGUUGAUGAAUAAAUGCUCCAGAAUUUGUGGGUGUCAGUCACUCAUCACCUCUGGUUAGCUGAUGGUGCAUUGCCUCCCUUUCAGUCAGGAUGGGCUUUUUUGUUUGAAAGAUGGUUCCCUUGGUGGCGAUACCUUUCAUGCCUGUACUUGUUGUCCAGCACCACUAUUACGUGCAUCAUGUUUUCCAGGUUUGAUGGAGUGUGAAUGGUUUUAUGGGAAAUGUCUAUUAUCUCAUUUUGUCAGUUGCCUGAAUACAUACAUCAGGAGCAAAGAAUGACAAGUGUGUUGAGCUAUCCCCAAGAAGUUUUUUAAAUCCAGCAUGUCUUGAUCACCAUUGUUUGUCCAUGCAUGUCUUAAUUACCAUUGUUUGUCCACAGUUGGCUGGCUCAGCAUUAAACACCAGCAUAUUGCUUUAUAACUGAAAAACUAUGUAAAAUCAGUCCAAUCAUCACCACCUCAAUGUUUUGGAUACACACUUAAUACUUCUCCUGCCAUAGUGUGUGUCCACCUGUAAGCAUGCCCAUGUGUGCUUGUAUAUGUACAGUCCAUAAACAUUGCUCAGGUCUGAUAAAGAACGUAAACAAUCACUGCUAUGAUCAGUUUUCUUCACAAAUGUUACUUUUUUAAUUUGAGAAGCAUUCUUCAAGGGAAGGUGGUACUACUUGAAAAGCGGAAUUACAGUCCUUGUGUUCUUCCUGUAGAUUUGACUUUUUUCUUUGAUUGUACAUUUUUUGCAGAUAAUAAAGCUUUAAAAAAUAUAAUUAAAACAUAAUCUAUGACUUAAGAUAAAAGCAAGCCUUUGCACAGAUAUUGUAUAGAAGUACUUUUUAUGAUUGUUUGUUAAAGGUUUUAAAAGUGUUUGUUAUUUUAAAGCAAUAUGUCUUUAAAAGGUGGUGCAUUUUUCUUGCUAUGCAUGACAUUAUAAUUGAUGCUGAAAGACAAUAGUUUCAUUACAACUUGAUCCAAGGAUUAAAACAAGUUAAAGGCAAAA